This is a long non-coding RNA of Lates calcarifer (barramundi perch), 1101 nucleotides long. RefSeq lists it as uncharacterized. The transcript is spliced from 2 exons. The record is from RefSeq and is a predicted model, not a curated record. NCBI's taxonomy places the organism in Eukaryota, Metazoa, Chordata, Actinopteri, Centropomidae.
UAAGAUUUGUAAAACCUUUAUUCUAUUUCGUGCAAAUGGAAAUAGCUUCUUUUACAGCAUUUCUCAUAUCUCCACAACAUCAGACCAGUCCAGAUCAGAAACCACGGUACUUAGAGUUGUCAAAUCUGAACUAGAUUAUCCCAGAGAAGUUUCAGAUUAGUGAAACCCAUUCUCUAAAAAAGGGAGGUUCAAACUUCAGACAAGGUUAUGUCAGUGCAUACUGAGAAUGAUGCAUACACACACAAUAAGAGCUAAUGCAAUUAACAGAUAUAGUACUAUGAACAGUAAUGAUCAAGAUAGCUUUAAGUAAUGGAACAUUUAUGGAAGACAUUUAAACCAUUGAACACUAAAAGCAUACACUAUUCAAAAGUAAAACUAUGUUCAGUGUGACAGAGAUACCACUUAAGCUGGCUGAGAGAUAUAGCAUGCUUGUCCUAAAUACAUUUUAAUGGUGUGUUAUUUCUGCUUGGUGAAGGACUUUGUAGACUUUCUCUUGUUACACCAUAACCCUGACCCAUAACUCUUAUCAACAAAAUGUUGGAUUAUCAUUAAUCAGUAGUUGGACAUUUGAUUUCCCAGCUUCUUCAAAUAAAGAUUGCAGGCUGUGCGUUUUUCCCAAAACUGGCAUUUCUGGUCUUGCACAAUGUCAGAUAUGUAUAAAAAGGGAGAGGCAACAGAGAAAGACUGCAUAUGGGUCUGAGAUUCAAAUCCACAAGGAUGAAGAAGAUUGCUGUUCUAAUUCUUGCAUUCAGCUGCUGUCUGUGUGAAGUGCAAGUUAAUGAAAACGAUGACAAAGUCCAUCAGUGUGGAGGAUCAGCCAGUUGCAGUGAAAUCUCCUCCCUCACUUCCAUAAGCAAAAACUUGGGAGCAGUGGAGGAGAAAAUCACAAACAUGGCAGAGAAAAUAACACUCCUGGAGACCAAGUUGCAAACCACUGAAAAAGAAGUCCUAGGAUCGGCAGAGCCUUAUUGGAGGCAAGCCUCAGGUGGCCUUUUCUGCGGCUCUCAGGGAUUCUGGCAGUGGAAACAUUGGACCUUUCACCACUGCUACUGCACUGCAAUACAAGAAGGUCUUCUCAAACACUGGCAAUAGCUACAACCC